UGGCCCCCUGAAAGAGGACGAUGAACUAGAUCAGUGAUGGCGAACCUUUUAGAGACCGAGUGCCCAAACUGCAACCCAAAACCCACUUUUUUAUCGCAAAGUGCCGAAACGGUAAUUCACCCUGAAUAAUACAGUCCAGUAUAGUGUAUCUUCCAUGUACUUUAUCAUUUAGCUAUAAUACCCUGCCUACAUUCAGUGCGCUGCCUGCGCUGUUCAUAGUGCGCCCUGCGCUGAUGAAUGGCAGGCAAAGUCUA
Bufo bufo (common toad) is the source of this 254-nucleotide long non-coding RNA. RefSeq lists it as uncharacterized. The record is from RefSeq and is a predicted model, not a curated record. Lineage: Eukaryota; Metazoa; Chordata; Amphibia; Anura; Bufonidae. The transcript has 4 exons.